This 512-nucleotide long non-coding RNA is filed under the name Medicago truncatula (barrel medic). Its description in RNAcentral is "long non-coding RNA (MTRU_LNC003106)". The record is from RNAcentral. Lineage: Eukaryota; Viridiplantae; Streptophyta; Magnoliopsida; Fabales; Fabaceae.
UUUAAGGAAGGAAAGUUUGAAAUGCUUCAAUAUUUAGUAGGAAUCUAUAUGUUGGAAAUCUAACUUCAAGUUGUGUUGUUAGCCUACUUUUUCAAAUAUAUCUCACCUUGUCUAAGCAAAUAUAUAACUCUAUUUAUGACAGAUUCAACUUGUGGCUUUUCAUUAUCUCUAGCAACUUGAGAAAGCAUAGUCCUUUCAAUGCUUCAACUGUCAAUGUCAAUGAGUCAAUGCUGACCUAUGAAGUACAUACGCUUCUCGGCUUAGACGUGCCCCAUGGUAAGAUAUGCGUGGUGUUCGACACCGACACAUAUUAUUACAUUGAAUUAUGUGAUUUUCUUAAAUUAUUAUUUAGGUCGGUAUGUCAGUGUCCGGUGUCCGUGUCUGUGCUUAAUAGAUGCUAACACAGAUGGUGAUAUGCAGGUUUUGGAUAGCAUGAAGGUUAAUGAUUACAUUUGGGAGUACCUUGAGUUUGGAGUGGUGAUGAAAGCAUAUAGUGUCUUUACAGAUGCAAG